Molecule: long non-coding RNA, 683 nt
Organism: Dendronephthya gigantea
Lineage: Eukaryota; Metazoa; Cnidaria; Anthozoa; Malacalcyonacea; Nephtheidae
Exons: 6
Source: RefSeq, a predicted model, not a curated record
AUUCCUUAUUUGAAGAAGAGAGAUUUUUCAAAGAGGAGCCCCUGCGUUUAGGUCAACUUGUGAACCGCUCCCGCCAUGCCAUUGGUAACCUUCUAUCAUUACAAAAGCUGGCGCAACAGGACGCAAACAAGGUACCCAGAACUGGAAAUAGCUGUCCUGUUGUUUUAAAGAGUCCGAUGAAGGAAACAGAUACAAUAAAACGUAAUGGGAGUUACAGGCCGGGCGCCGUUGUUACUCAGAUAUCUCACAAAACCAAAGUUGAAUAUGGCGGAGCAAGAACAACCGCUGCGUACAAUCAAAACAACGGUUCUCAGGCAAGCGUUGCUAAAACGAAGGUUCGUUUCAGUGAUUCCGCAGAAUGCAGAACUUAUCGUCAAUAAUAUUCACAGCUGCGUUCUAUAUCACAUAGGUCCAACUUAAGGGUAAGUUUGAACCAGAUAGUUUACCCAGGGAGUUGGUACAAAAGAGUUACUUAACCCUCGUGAAUUAACAUGCAUUCCGUAAAUCUUGGGUAAAAACAGGCGGAUAGGAAGAGGGCGAGGUUCCGAUCACAAUGUCCGAAGUCAUAACUCUCCUGUUUGUAGCCCAUCCAGUUUCAGUAAAGUAGACUUUCAACUACAUGUAAGCUCAGAAAACAUCCAAAUAGACAUUGCCAUCAAUUGGGUUGCGCUACAUAUAUGCAA